GACUAACUGUACUAGGCAGUCUCACAACACCUCAUCAGUUCCAGCACAUCGUAAGGUUGUUAAUGAUAAUGAUAUUCACAGCGUUGUAAUGUCUUUAUCUUCUUCUCCACAACUGCUUCAACGAAACCGCUGAGACUCUCGCUUCUACCGCCGGUAUCAAGCAACCUCCAAUCGAUCGUUGUGAUAACAUGGACAUGAGAAAAACAAAUAAUGGAUUUGGUACUGGAGAAGAACUCGUUGGAGGCAAUUGAACUAACCGAACAACUUUCUCAAGGCUUGCUUGGUGAAGAACACUUCCAUCUUCUUUGCCUUCGUUUUCUUGAGCUUGUCUGUGCUCCCAAGUGCAGCCCAGAAGCUUUUGAAUUUGCUCGGACAACGUUGGCUCCUUUUGGGAAUGUCCCAAAAUAUGUAGAAAAGAUUCAAGUAAAGUCUGAAUCUUUGUUUCUCUUCUCUAAAUGAUGGAAGCUGUUAAGCUGAAACCUCUUUGUUUCAUAUAUGGCUAGAGAUGGUUUCGGUUUUGCUGUUGCAUGAUAUGAAUAUUGUUAAAGACCAGUUCUGUUUGGUUUAGUUCAUUUCUGUUAUGUAGCGGAAGGUUGUAAUCGAUGUUCUUGGAGAACAUACUUUGCAGACUUAACAAGCUUCAAAUC
Long non-coding RNA from Brassica napus (rape), 647 nucleotides. RefSeq lists it as uncharacterized. The record is from RefSeq and is a predicted model, not a curated record. Lineage: Eukaryota; Viridiplantae; Streptophyta; Magnoliopsida; Brassicales; Brassicaceae. The transcript has 4 exons.